Molecule: ribosomal RNA, 497 nt
Filed under: uncultured bacterium
Lineage: Bacteria
Description: partial 16S ribosomal RNA
Rfam family: Bacterial small subunit ribosomal RNA
Source: RNAcentral
GAUGAACGCUGGCGGCGUGCCUAAUACAUGCAAGUCGAGCGAACAGACGAGGAGCUUGUUCCUCUGACGUUAGCGGCGGACGGGUGAGUAACACGUGGAUAACCUACCUAUAUGUCUGGGAUCACUUCGGGAAACCGGAUCUAAUACCAGAUAAUAUCUUGAACCGCAUGGUUCAAUAGUGAAUGACGGUUUUGCUGUCUCUUAUAGAUGGUUCCGCGCCGCAUUAGCUAGUUGGUAAGGUAACGGCUUACCAAGGCAACGAUGCGUAGCCGACCUGAGAGAGUGAUCGGCCACACUGGAACUGAGACACGGUCCAGACUCCUACGGGAGGCAGCAGUAGGGAAUCUUCCGCAAUGGUCGAAAGCCUGACGGAGCAACGCCGCGUGAGUGAUGAAGGUCUUCGGAUCGUAAAACUCUGUUAUUAGGGAAGAACAAAUGUGGAAGUAAAUAUGCACGUCUUGACGGUACCUAAUCAGAAAGCCACGGCUAACUACGUG